Long non-coding RNA from Lactuca sativa (garden lettuce), 2523 nucleotides. RefSeq lists it as uncharacterized. The record is from RefSeq and is a predicted model, not a curated record. Lineage: Eukaryota; Viridiplantae; Streptophyta; Magnoliopsida; Asterales; Asteraceae.
CUCGUAUGCAAAAGUUACGGAUGAAGCUUAGAGACUACUUUACUAUAAAACUCCUAUAAAUACAAGGGUGAACUCCUCAUAUUUUCUUCACACCAUAAGCCUUUCUUUCUCUCUCUAACUUCUCUCUAACCUCCCUAAACCCCUCCCAAGUCUAGGGAACCUCCCUAUCACGAGAAGAAAGCCCCGGAGCGCCCGACGGCUCCGAGAAGAAAAGCUUUCGGCUCGGAAACGCUGCUCCAGCGAAGCCCGGUUUUUAAUAAAAACCCGCUGUUUCGUCAAGGGAUAAUUGUUUUAAGAGUAACGAAGUGCUGUCCGAGUGCCGACUCACCACCUUUCAAGUGUUGAUAUGAAGUGACAUUACAUUGAGAGAUUUAAAGAGAUGUAGAUCACUAGUGUAAAUAAUUGUAAGUUCUGUUUAUGCUUAUAUUUCUGUAUUAACGAUGACAUCCCAAACGUUUUAAAAUGAAAUAAAUACGUUUCUUCGAAAAUGUUUUAAUAACGUAUUUACCAUGUUUUUCUGGGAACAAAUUCCGCAACAUUUUUAUAAAAUGAAGUACUCUGAUUUUUAUAAAGCAUAAACAACAUCGGUCUUUUCUGGCCGUGAAAAUGGGGAUGUCACAACAUCCUUCAGAUUUUAUGAUAUUUGAUUUUGGGAUACUCUGAUUCGUGAUUAUAAUUUUUGGAAACUAUGUGUUGUAAACAUUUAUGGUUUUCGGCUUGGUUUUAAAAAUGAAAAAUUUACCUUGAUUUUUUGGAUUUUACAUUUAACUUAUUUUUUAAAAGAGGUAGAUUAAGUUGCAAAGAAGAAGAAAAAUAAAGUAAAAGAGAGGAGAGAAGAUGGAGACUCUGCAGCCACUUGCCAUAGAGGAUGUCUUUGCUCGACAUGUUGAAGCCACAUGAAGGUGUGUGUCGAGGCCACACCCCAACCUCAUGAGUAUUUUUUUUUGUUGAAAUGCAAUACCAAUCACUUUUAGUGAGGUAAGGCUUCUCGAAGUGGACUCGAGAGUUGUCUCGGCUAACCCGACAAACACAUGGCCGAGGAGUGUGUGUGGGUUUGAAUGAUUUGAGCGUUGGAAGGGUCUUUGUGAUUGUUUUUUUUUUCUUCAAAAAAUCCUCGAUUUUUACCAUAUAUAAAUACGACUACAUAUGAUAUUUUAUCACACUUCACUAUCUUCAUUUUUUCACUCAAAACAACACAAUUUUUGUGAGAAAAAUGGCUUCCCUUUCCAACCCAAAAGCUCAAAAAAAAAAUACCAAAAGAAACACUCAAAACCCAACACAUCACACAUUUUCACCAAAUUUCGUUCAAAAUCAAAGUGAUCGGCCAACUUAUUCUCCACCAAAUUUACACUUUGGUGGUGUUUACUACCCAUUUCAAAACAAAAACCAACCCCAAUACCAAAAUCAAGCACAAUACCAAAACCAACCUUAAUACCAAAGCCAACCACAACUUCAAAGACAACUCCAAUUUCAAAACUAGCCACAAAUAAACUUCCCAUCCCAAAUGGAAAAUGACUUCAAUCUAUUUGAUGAUCUUCCCGACUCCCCAAUGAUUUCCAAACUCAAGGGGAAGCCGAAGUCGUCUCUAAAAUGGAAUUGGAGCCAGAAGAGAAUCGACCACAACCCAAAAAAAAGUGGAAGGGCGGCAAGCAAUGAACAUUUUUCAAAUAAAAGGCAUUAGCUCGUGCGUGGAUGGAUGUUUCUGAAGAUACGGUGGUUGGAAACAACCAAGAUUGUCCAACUUUUUUUUCCCAAAAAAAUUACAUGGCGUUUUCUCACAGAGAUGAAUCUUGGAGAGUAUCGGAAAAAGACCAAAUUUAUUCGAAGUAGAGUAAUGUAAACAAAGUGGUGACAAAGUUUAAUGGGGCGUUUUCGAGUGUCAAAUGACAAUGGUGAAGUAGUGCAAACGACGAAACUAUUUUGCAAAAAGCUCUUGAAGUGUACCAGAAUAAAAAAGAGGUCAAUUUCAAUUUUCUACAUGUUUGGAAUAUUUUGGAAUUGUUAAAAAAAUGACAAAAGGUCUUUACGGGUGGUUCUUUUAAUAGAACUAAAACAUCCGGAACGACGCAUAAUCAAUCGUCUGAUGCAUAUAUCGGUAUUGACCUCAAUGAGGAGGAGCAUUUUGAGGCUCCAAGAGUCACUCGUCCCAUGGGAAGAGACCGAGCCAAACGAAAGGGAAAAGCGGCGGCAAGUGGUUCGAGUGACAUCGACCAACUAACAAGCAAAAUGAACAACUUGAAGUCGUCUUUGGAACAAUAUUUGAUGGUUGCACAAGAGAAAGAAAAAAAAAACCAUGCCAUAGCGAUCUUAACGUGAGACAUUAGCACUCUCACCAGACGUGAAAAAGAAGUGCUGAUAAAAGAAAAAGAGGACGUCGUGAAAAAAAUAUAACAUAUUGGUUCCGUUAUUUUAUUUUCAUGGUUUCGUUAUUUAAAUUUCUAGGUUUGUAAUUUGAAAUUCUUGUUCUUUUUGGUGUGUUGUAAUUUUUUUUAAGUUUUGUGAAAUUUAAGAUUUAAAAAACAA